Molecule: small RNA, 861 nt
Filed under: uncultured Patulibacter sp.
Lineage: Bacteria; Bacillati; Actinomycetota; Thermoleophilia; Solirubrobacterales; Patulibacteraceae
Description: bacterial SSU rRNA
Rfam family: Bacterial small subunit ribosomal RNA (bases 1-470)
Source: RNAcentral
GUCGUGAGAUGUUGGGUUAAGUCCCGCAACGAGCGCAACCCUCGUCGUAUGUUGCCAGCAUUUAGUUGGGGACUCAUGCGAGACUGCCGGUGACAAACCGGAGGAAGGCGGGGAUGACGUCAAGUCAUCAUGCCCCUUAUGUCCAGGGCUACACACGUGCUACAUUGGCGCGUACAGAGGGCUGCGAUACCGCGAGGUGGAGCGAAUCCCUCAAAGCGCGUCUCGGUUCGGAUUGCAGGCUGAAACCCGCCUGCAUGAAGGUGGAGUUGCUAGUAAUCGCGGAUCAGCAUUGCCGCGGUGAAUACGUUCCCGGGCCUUGUACACACCGCCCGUCACACCACGGGAGUGAGCAACACCCGAAGCCGGUGGCCCAACCCUUUGGGAGGGAGCCGUCGAAGGUGGGGCUCGUGACUGGGGUGAAGUCGUAACAAGGUAGCCGUACCGGAAGGUGCGGCUGGAUCACCUCCUUUCUAGGGAAGCACCUUCGGGUGCCGGCUGGGCUUCGGGCCCAGCUGCCUAGCAUGUCGACCGGACCUGGAGCCCGCUUUCCGCGGGCUCAUGCUGUUGAGUUUUGAGAGACCGACCGUUCCGCGGCCGCGUCCCCGUGCGCGGCCGCCGUUCGCUCAAGUCCUCUUGGCGGUCCUUGAAAACUGCACAGAGUCACACAUCGCACAGCGAUCGCUUCGGCGAACGCUGUGAGAGUUUUAUGGUUAUCACCAGAUCGGAGAUCGACUCCGAUCUGAUCACCGUCAAGAUAAUAAGGGCACACGGUGGAUGCCUUGGCACCAAGAGUCGAUGAAGGGCGUGGACGGCUGCGAUAAGCCGCGGUGAGGCGCUGAACAGCCUUUGACCCGCGGAUGC